GGGGACGUAGCUCAGUUGGCUAGAGCACCUGCUUUGCAAGCAGGGGGUCGUGGGUUCGAAUCCCAUCGUCUCCA
Molecule: transfer RNA, 74 nt
Filed under: Ilumatobacter sp.
Lineage: Bacteria; Bacillati; Actinomycetota; Acidimicrobiia; Acidimicrobiales; Ilumatobacteraceae
Also listed under: 3 other names
Description: tRNA-Ala
Rfam family: tRNA
About the family: Transfer RNA (tRNA) molecules are approximately 80 nucleotides in length. Their secondary structure includes four short double-helical elements and three loops (D, anti-codon, and T loops).
Source: RNAcentral